This 305-nucleotide ribosomal RNA is filed under the name uncultured bacterium. RNAcentral describes it as "bacterial SSU rRNA". It matches the Rfam family "Bacterial small subunit ribosomal RNA", at positions 338 to 658 of the family's 1533-position model. The record is from RNAcentral.
CCUACGGGACGCAGCAGUGGGGGAUAUUGCACAAUGGGGGAAACCCUGAUGCAGCGACGCCGCGUGGGCGAAGAAGUAUUUCGGUAUGUAAAGCCCUAUCAGCAGGGAAGAAGAAAUGACGGUACCUGAGUAAGAAGCACCGGCUAAAUACGUGCCAGCAGCCGCGGUAAUACGUAGGGGGCAAGCGUUAUCCGGAUUUACUGGGUGUAAAGGGAGCGUAGACGGCGAAGAAAGUCUGAAGUGAAAGCACGCGGCUUAACCGCGGAACUGCUUUGGAAACUUUUUUGCUGGAGUACCGGAGAGGG